UACGUAGGGUGCAAGCGUUGUCCGGAAUCAUUGGGCGUAAAGAGCUCGUAGGCGGUUUGUCGCGUCUGCUGUGAAAACCCGAGGCUCAACCUCGGGCCUGCAGUGGGUACGGGCAGACUAGAGUGCGGUAGGGGAGAUUGGAAUUCCUGGUGUAGCGGUGGAAUGCGCAGAUAUCAGGAGGAACACCAAUGGCGAAGGCAGAAUCUCUGGGCCGUAACUGACACUGAGAGACGAAAGCUAGGGGGAGCGAAUGGG
Molecule: ribosomal RNA, 255 nt
Filed under: uncultured bacterium
Lineage: Bacteria
Description: partial 16S ribosomal RNA
Rfam family: Bacterial small subunit ribosomal RNA
Source: RNAcentral